CCGCGUCCCCAGGUCAGGCGAGACCACCCGCUGAGCUUAAGCAUAUCAAUAAGCGGAGGAAAAGAAACUUACGAGGAUUCCCCUAGUAACGGCGAGCGAACCGGGAACAGCCCAGCAUGAAAAUCGGGCGGCAGCGCCGUCCGA
Molecule: ribosomal RNA, 144 nt
Filed under: Lepidothamnus intermedius
Lineage: Eukaryota; Viridiplantae; Streptophyta; Pinopsida; Araucariales; Podocarpaceae
Description: partial 26S ribosomal RNA
Rfam family: Eukaryotic large subunit ribosomal RNA
Source: RNAcentral